This 479-nucleotide ribosomal RNA is filed under the name uncultured bacterium. Its description in RNAcentral is "bacterial SSU rRNA". It matches the Rfam family "Bacterial small subunit ribosomal RNA", at positions 33 to 507 of the family's 1533-position model. The record is from RNAcentral.
GACGACGCUGGCGGCGUGCCUAACACAUGCAAGUCGAGCGGAGUCGAUCGCGGAAGCCUUCGGGCGGAAGAUGGUUGACUUAGCGGCGGAUGGGUGAGUAACGCGUGGGCAACCUGCCUCGAAGACCGGGAUAACAGCCCGAAAGGGCUGCUAAUACCGGAUGUGGUCAAAGAUCCGCAUGGAUUUUGAUUAAAGGGGAAACCCGUUUCGAGAUGGGCCCGCGUCCUAUCAGCUAGUUGGUGGGUAAAAGCUCACCAAGGCGACGACGGGUAGCCGGCCUGAGAGGGUGACCGGCCACACUGGAACUGAGACACGGUCCAGACUCCUACGGGGGGCAGCAGUGGGGAAUCUUCCACAAUGGGCGAAAGCCUGAUGGAGCGACGCCGCGUGAGCGAAGAAGGCCUUCGGGUUGUAAAGCUCUGUCUGGAGGGACGAAGGAAGUGACGGUACCUCCGGAGGAAGCCACGGCUAACUACGUG